Non-coding RNA from Podarcis lilfordi (Lilford's wall lizard), 65 nucleotides. NCBI's taxonomy places the organism in Eukaryota, Metazoa, Chordata, Lepidosauria, Squamata, Lacertidae. The record is from the annotation of a GenBank genome assembly.
GAUAGCUCAGCUGGUUAGAGCAUGGUGCUGAUAACACUGAGGUCACAGGUUCGAUUCCCCAUACA